Long non-coding RNA from Lagopus muta (rock ptarmigan), 2743 nucleotides. RefSeq lists it as uncharacterized. Lineage: Eukaryota; Metazoa; Chordata; Aves; Galliformes; Phasianidae. The record is from RefSeq and is a predicted model, not a curated record. The transcript has 3 exons.
CCGCAGGCCCUUAAUCGUUUUUGUAGCCUUCUGCUGUAUCCUGCGACUGAAAGCACACAAAAAGUUUCCUCAGUUCAUAGAUGAGUGAUUGUGAGCCGUGCUCUGGGAUGAUCAACUCCAAAAUGCUAUAUCAGAGUCUGUGCCAAGUUAACAAGUGUCUGCUUCUGUGCAACUUAAAGCUGAAUCCAGACAAGUUAGCUGUUUUGGCCAGAAGGAUCUACUCUUCAGUAAAACAGCUUUCUGAAUAUGAUUUAACGGAGCAAACUACACAGGAAAGUGAAACUAAAGAGUUGCUUCACAGUACAGAAAACAAAACCUUUGGAAGAUUGCACAUACCAGUGAUGGUGGAGGAGGUCAUUAAUUUUUUAUCCCCUCAGUCAGGCCAGGUCCAAGUUGGAGAAGAAAUUGAAAAUCUGGAUGCUCAGAGGAUUCAUAAAAAAAACAUUCUUUGACCUUCAACAACAAGCUACCUUCUGCAACAGAAUUCUCAGGCUCAAUAUUCUGUCCUCAAGAAAAAGAGAAAUGCUUUUGCUUUAUCUGGAAUUGGCUUGUACAUAUAAAGACAUGACAGUUCCUAAUAAAUGCUAGCUGUCACGUAGUAUACUCAUAAUUGUAUCAGAAACAAUGAACUGGCUUGACAUUAACUUCACUAAGUCACUUCUGGGUCAGCUGUCUUGAAGAACAGCAGUUUUGAAGAGAACCUGCAGCAGCUUUCAGUGUAUGCAUUUCCGCUAGGCUCUCCUGACCGUAAGUUUAAGAAACAAAGUUUGAUGAAUUUUCAGAAGCCUGGGUAAAAUGUUGGUUUUGCAAAAUCAGGUGACUGACACUUCAAAGAAUAUAGAAGCGUUCUUAUUUUUCAGGACACAGGUAUAAAAAGUAAUUCAAAAAUGAAAGAAUAAUUUCUCAAAUAAUAAUCAGCCAGGAACACGCAGCAUUUUAUUUAAAUAACUAAUGUUGAGCUGAACAGCUUUUACCAGUGCCCUAGCAAAUUUUGAUUACAUCCCUGCUCACGGGAGAGGUCCCCUAAACCUGCCUGCUUGGGGCUGUGUGUGUAGCCCUGAUGGAGCAUAGCCCAGCAACAGGCAAGAUGGCAGCUUGGUGCAGCUGUUGGCUCUGCUGUAGAAGGCAAUUUUACAUCUCUCACUUCAUGUGAAUACCCUAUUUUUUUUUUUAUCAUUAUUACUUAUUUUUUAGCAGAUAUAGCUUAGAUUAAUUUCCAGCUCUUUUUUCAUUUUUCUUUUUUCCCUAGAUUACAAUAAAUAUAUGCCAUUGCUAUUCUAAAUUUAGUGUAGAAACACAGAAUGUUUUGUGUUGAAAGGGACCUUAAAUAUCCUUCAGUUCUACCCCCCUGCCAUGGACCAGGCUAUCACUCUCUAGAUGAGGCUGCUGAGGGCCCUACCCAGACCUUAAUGAACAAUGGCUGUGUUUAAAUCAGAAAUAAAAGUCUGAUAUGUGAUCAUGCAAUCUUUAUUUUAAUAAUAACUAUGCUUCUAAGGAGAUUAUUUAUCUCCAAAGCCCCUCGUAUAAGUAUGAAGUAUCCAUACUAUGCACUCUUAUACCAGAAGUGAUUUGGAAGCUGCAUUGCAAGUGUAAUUAUAAAAAUAAUCAGCCUAAAGUCAAUGUAAGUCACCAUGCUUUGCCCAUAACAUUACAUGCUUUAUGAAGAGACAUGUUACGUGAGAGAGCCCUUUUUUCAUCUCUGUCAUCUGCUUGUUGUGCAUCAGCAGCUCUGUUUAUGCCAUUCGUGUGUGUAGGUGGUAGGAGAGUUGUCACUGUAAUCGCAUUUGAGAGAGGCACAACGAUAUUUGCAUUUUUGCUCUCAAGAUCAUACAGCGAGGGAUGCCUGUCUUUGGAAAGUGUAUAGCAGGAGUGUCUGAUUCUCCCCAGAAGUGGGACAGCAGUGCUAAGGACAGAUUUGACUGUUGUGAACAUCCCAGCAGAACAGCAGAAUCCUCACGUGCAACCUGAAACACGUUUCAGCCUGCCAGAGUCCACAGGGAAGAUGGUAAAUUUGCCCUUGCUGCUGAGCUGCUGGGGUUUAGGGGGCUGAGGUAAGCAACAAAUUUCAGCCAACGACACCAUGAGAAUAACAGAGGCUGAAGAUUCCUCCUUUGUCAUAGGCUUUGUCCUGCUUUCUGAACAUCCAGUGGAGACCUGGUUUCACUGUUUCUUCGGAAGUCAGACACAACCCUUUCCUGCUUUGCUGGUACAACAACCUAUGCACAGCUCAGCCUUAGGCAAUAGGAAAACCUAAUUAGCUCUUUCUGUGAUACUUUGUAACUGAGAUCUUUCCUGUGCUCAUCUUUGAGACUACUCAAUAAUAUUUUAUUCCUAUUUAUCAGCAACAUGCUUGCUAAUGCAUUAUGGGGCACCAUUAAUUUCCAUAUACUCUAAGAUUAGUCAGUGUUUCCGUUAUGAAAUUAUCACUCAUCCUUACAAUUUGACUCCAAUGAGAAUAGUAGCUUUCAAUGUCAGAGCCCAGAGUGGUUUAAAUAAUGGAAUCGGGCUAUAAAAUCUGUUCAGUUUCCAGAUUACAUUUAAAUUUAUACAUUUAUUAAAGCAACAAUAUUAAAAGAGUUAAAAUUGUUUUUGUUUUUGUUUUUGUUUUCCAAAACACCUUUAGUUUUACUUGUAUCAAAGACUGUUCCUUUUGCACGUUUCUCUUUCCUCAAAUAAACUUGUUUCUGCACUGAGUUUUCUACAAGUAUUUUUUUCCAAAUUAAAUCUUGCAAGGAUACUUACA